ACUUCACCUGCUUCAGUGUGAGACUUCACCUGGACAAUAUUUGGUCAAUCUCUCAGUGUUUUUCCCGUAGUUUUAACCAGGUCGAAUACUUUUCUAGGGUUACAGACUUUGACGGUCACAGUUCUCGGUGUAACACCGUAGCUGAGCGUGGGCAGGCGAUGGGAAGGAGGGGCACCCGUGUUAUUCCAGGUCAAUCAACGCAGAGCAUGUGGAAAGAAACGCGCAACGCCCAAACAGCCUGUUCAGGUGAAAGGCCUCCAACGCUAAUGCACUGUUGGCUUCACUCACAUGCAGGCACAAGAACGCAGUGAGUCACACAUGCGCGCACACACACACUCGCACACACGCAAGCACACGCACACACGCACACACACACACACACACAGCAUACAUGUAAUUCCCCCAAAAAAUAUACACGCUGCGGUACAGAGUGGUUACCUGCUGCUACGCCUCUCUAACAGAACCAGCCACACACGCAGACAUCCCGCUUCCUGAAACACAAUGGCGUUCUGCACGUAUCUGUGGCCGGUUUAACACUGCCAAGAUGAAACCCCCAUUGAAUCCUUAUACUCAACCCUCCCACACAGACUCAACCCCAGUGAUUACUGCUCACCUCUAAUGCUCAACCCUAGUGGUUGCUGCCUGCAUCCACCCUUCAUUGCUACUGCUGGGUACUAGCUGGUCCACAGAUACACUAUAUGACCAAAAGUAUCUGGACACCCCUUGGUCUGGGGCUGUUUUUCAUGGUUUGGGCUUGGUCCCUUUGUUCCAGAGAGGGCAAAUCUGAAUGCAGUGACAUUUUAGACAAUUCUGUGCUUCCAGCCUUGUGGCAACAGUUUGGCGAAGGCCCUUUCCUGUUUCAGCAUGACACAUAUAGACAUAGUUUUUGUCGAGAUUGGUGUGGAAGAACUUGACUGGCCUGCACAGAGCCCCGACCUCAACCCCAUCCAACACCUUUGGGAUCAGGUGGAAAGCGAACUGAGAGCCAGGUCUAAUCACCCAAUCAGUGCCCCACCUCACUAAUGCUCUUCUGGCUGAAUGGAAGAAAAUCCCUGCAGCAAUGCUCCAACAUCUAGUAUGAAGCCUUCCCAAAAGAGUGGAGGUUGUUAUAGCAGCAAAGGGUGGACCAACUCCAUAUUAAUGCCCAUAAUUUUGUAUGUGAUGUUGGAUGGUGUCCACAUACUUUUGGCCAUACACUGUAUGUGUCCUGAGCAGCAUAGGGAGGGUGCUGAGUGGGGAGCAGUCAGAACUUGUAGGUUGUAAUGAAGCUAUGACAGACAUGCCUGUAGGCAAUACCUUAUUAUCUAUACGCUUUUAAAAAAUGCAUUCAUUUAGCAGGCAAUCACCCAGGGCAGCUAGAUGUCCGUUAGAUAAAAAAAAAAAGAUAUAUUUUUUUUCUAUUCAACAAACACGUCGACUAAAACUGAGAUGUUUGGCCUUGUUUUCUGUCCCGAACUAAUUAGCGUGUUUUAUCUUGCUCUGUUAAACGGACGCCCACGGAGCGCCGCAGACGGGCGAGCGGUGCGGUAAACUCGUUUACCUUGGCGAAGGCCUUCCCGCGCUUCCCCUUUUCAGUGUGUACAAUCGCUGUCCUCGCAGGAGCGGCACGGAGGACGGGCGAAAGAGCCGCGCGGCCUCGCCGAUGACGGAACCGCCGCGCGAAAGACGAGCGCGCUCCUCGACGGGAGAACGGGUGUCCGGGAUUGUCUUAACACCCCUAAAAGCGUCUCCGGGGCGAGGGGGAGGAGGGGUUUCACAGCUUUGCACGCGCGGUUAAAGGCUAACCACGAAGCCAGGCUGAUGAAUAUUUAAAGAGAGAGGGACGGAGGGAGAGA
Molecule: long non-coding RNA, 1835 nt
Organism: Anguilla rostrata (American eel)
Lineage: Eukaryota; Metazoa; Chordata; Actinopteri; Anguilliformes; Anguillidae
Exons: 2
Source: RefSeq, a predicted model, not a curated record